GGGCGAUUAGCUCAGUUGGUUAGAGCGCCUGCUUUACACGCAGGAGGUCAAUGGUUCGAGUCCAUUAUCGCCCACCA
RNAcentral lists this transfer RNA (77 nucleotides) under Chloroflexota bacterium. RNAcentral describes it as "tRNA-Val". It matches the Rfam family "tRNA". Rfam says of the family: Transfer RNA (tRNA) molecules are approximately 80 nucleotides in length. Their secondary structure includes four short double-helical elements and three loops (D, anti-codon, and T loops). Lineage: Bacteria; Bacillati; Chloroflexota. The record is from RNAcentral. RNAcentral also lists the same sequence under 1 other name.